CCCUCGAGUGGGGAAUAACUCCGGGAAACCGGAGCUAAUACCGCAUAAUAUCUUCGGUGCGUAGGUACUGAAGAUCAAAACAGUCAUGUGCUUGAGGAGGGGGUCGCGGCUGAUUAGCUAGUUGGCAGGGUAAUGGCCUACCAAGGCAAAGAUCGGUAUCCGGCCUGAGAGGGCGCACGGACACACUGGAACUGAAACACGGUCCAGACUCCUACGGGAGGCAGCAGUGGGGAAUUUUGCGCAAUGGGGGAAACCCUGACGCAGCAACGCCGCGUGGAGGAUGAAGUCCCUUGGGACGUAAACUCCUUUCGACCCGGACGAUACUGACGGUACGGGUGGAAGAAGCACCGGCUAACUCUGUGCCAGCAGCCGCGGUAAUACAGAGGGUGCGAGCGUUGUACGGAAUUAUUGGGCGUAAAGGGCGCGUAGGCGGUUGGGUAA
This 441-nucleotide ribosomal RNA is filed under the name uncultured Candidatus Korobacter sp. RNAcentral describes it as "bacterial SSU rRNA". It matches the Rfam family "Bacterial small subunit ribosomal RNA", at positions 129 to 586 of the family's 1533-position model. The record is from RNAcentral. Lineage: Bacteria; Pseudomonadati; Acidobacteriota; Terriglobia; Terriglobales; Candidatus Korobacteraceae.